Long non-coding RNA from Gossypium arboreum, 687 nucleotides. RefSeq lists it as uncharacterized. Lineage: Eukaryota; Viridiplantae; Streptophyta; Magnoliopsida; Malvales; Malvaceae. The transcript has 2 exons. The record is from RefSeq and is a predicted model, not a curated record.
CAGUGGGAAGUAUGGCUAUAAGUUUCUAAGAGUAAUUAACUUUAAAAAGUGGCUUUACUCAUAAUCCAAUAAUCUUCCAUCAAAUCCGGCGGAACACCCAUAUGCUUCCUUCAACAUCUUCUUCUUCUGCUGCUGCUGCUGCUGAUAUGAUCAAAGCAAGGACAUACAAUGUUCUCCUUAACUUCAGAGUCGAGGAUACUCGUAAUGGUUCCGCAAGUCAUCUAUACAAAGAUUUGUGUUGAUGAAAAUCGAAAUUUUUAUAGAUGAUGAGGACCUUCGAAGAGGAGAUGAAAUUUCACGAGGUCAAACUUUAAGGGCGUUUUUGGUACCUUUCUGAUAUUUUUGGGCCUCAGAGACAAAUCCCUGGAGACCAAUUGGUUGGGUGGGAUCACUUGUUUUUGUGAUGACAAUGCUAAAGUUAGCUGGUUUGUGGGAACUCAGGCAUCAAACAAAUGAGGCCUAGUUUAGAUUCUGCCCACUUGUUUGCAAGGGGGAUUGGUCUCAAUGCAUUUGUGGUGAGGUAAAGCUUUGUGGAGUUCAUGUAUCAUUUGCAAAGGACGAGGCAGAGGUACAACCACCUAACAGUUUCAACUAUCAAAGCUGAAUCCUGCUUCAAGCUUAGGUUAUUAUUUCAACCGAAGAGUUUUUAAAUUCUUUUUGGACUUAAUUCGUUGAUUCAAUUUCAUA